AGCUCCAAUAGCGUAUAUUAAAGUUGUUGCAGUUAAAAAGCUCGUAGUUGAAUUUCUGUCAUAUGGCAGCUAGCUUGCCGGAAGGUACAGCCUGGUUGACAUUGAUAUCCUUCGGGAUGUGUCGGUUCUUUAAUGAAGCGGCAGUAUCCCGGACCGUUACUUUGAGAAAAUUAGAGUGUUUCAAGCAGGCAGAAGCCUUGAAUACUACAGCAUGGAAUAAUAAGAUAGGACUUUGGUUCUUUCUUGUUGGUUCGGAGAACUAAGGUAAUGAUUAACAGGGACAGUCGGGGGCAUUCGUAUUUAACUGUCAGAGGUGAAAUUCUUAGAUUUGUUAAAGACGAACUACUGCGAAAGCAUUUGCCAAGGAUGUUC
RNAcentral lists this ribosomal RNA (372 nucleotides) under uncultured eukaryote. RNAcentral's name for it is "SSU rRNA". It matches the Rfam family "Eukaryotic small subunit ribosomal RNA", at positions 587 to 969 of the family's 1831-position model. The record is from RNAcentral.